Molecule: ribosomal RNA, 309 nt
Filed under: Triticum aestivum (bread wheat)
Lineage: Eukaryota; Viridiplantae; Streptophyta; Magnoliopsida; Poales; Poaceae
Description: partial small subunit ribosomal RNA
Source: RNAcentral
AUGAUGAUUCAGUUGGGCUUUUAUGUUCAGUUUGUGGAGCUUUUGAUGGCCUGUAUCCAAUCUAUUAAAUAUAAGGUCAAAUUCAAUAAUCAAGAAGCAAAUUAUUUUAUUCCUGGAAGAGAUCUUCGGCACGGAGAUCCCCCUUUCCCUUAUUUGUUCUUUAGAUUUGUUCAGAAGGUCUAUCUAGUUUUUUGGCUGAUAAAGAGUAGGUUCGUGGUAUUGAAGGUGUCAGGGUUUGCAAAAAUGCACCAUCAGGUUCACAUUUAUUAUUUGUUGAUAAUUCCAUUAUCCUUACAAAAGCAUAUAUGA